This 447-nucleotide ribosomal RNA is filed under the name uncultured bacterium. Its description in RNAcentral is "partial 16S ribosomal RNA". It matches the Rfam family "Bacterial small subunit ribosomal RNA", at positions 29 to 523 of the family's 1533-position model. The record is from RNAcentral.
AGCGAACGCUGGCGGCAGGCUUAACACAUGCGAGUCGAACGGUCCUUCGGGAUAGUGGCGGACGGGUGAGUAACACGUGGGAACGUACCCUUAGGUUCGGAACAACACAGGGAAACUUGUGCUAAUACCGGAUAAGCCCUUCGGGGGAAAGAUUUAUCGCCUUUGGAGCGGCCCGCGUCUGAUUAGCUUGUUGGUGAGGUAAUGGCUCACCAAGGCUACGAUCAGUAGCUGGUCUGAGAGGAUGGCCAGCCACACUGGGACUGAGACACGGCCCAGACUCCUACGGGAGGCAGCAGUGGGGAAUCUUGCGCAAUGGGCGAAAGCCUGACGCAGCCAUGCCGCGUGGAUGAUGAAGGUCUUAGGAUUGUAAAAUCCUUUCACCGGGGACGAUAAUGACGGUACCCGGAGAAGAAGCCCCGGCUAACUUCGUGCCAGCAGCCGCCGCCG